CCCUCGGCCACACCGCGCGCCCCCGCCGCCGCCGGCCCCGCGGACGCAGGCAAAAGUUGGGGCGCCGGGCGGCGCUCGGGGCGCGGGUUCGGGCCCCGCGGGCGGCGACGCUGGCGACACCGCGCGGGCGGCGCUGCGCUCCUGCGCUGGCCCCGGCCCCCUCCUGCCCUCGCCCCUCGCCCCUCGCCCCGCACACGCCCAACUCCUCGAUCCCAACUCCUCGCGCGGCCCCGGCCCGGAGCGAUUUCCUGCUGCCGCCGCCGCCGCCCCUCCCGGGGGCGCAGGGUGAACUCUCGCGCUUACCGGGUCGGUCGGGCUCCUCCGCUGCCUAGUGCCGAGGGGAAAACAAAACGCAGAGCGGGCUCCGGAGUUGGCUCGGCAGCUGCGGCCAGGGGGCUGAAUCCACGGGCACGGAGUUGGCCGGGGGCGAACGGGGCUCUGGUGAGUUUCAGGGUCUCCGGGUCCCCGGGCCGCCUCCUCCGCGGCGCUCCUUUGUGUAAUUUCACUCGAUUCAAGUUUAAUCCGAUAGUUCCCGAGCACGAGCGCGUCCGCACCACCACGGCUCAACCCCCGCGCCGCCGCCGCUGCCGCCGCCGCUGCCGCCGCCGCCGCCGCCGCGGCUUCCGACACGCCAGCGCCUGCGCGCGUCCGGCACGCCGCGCGCACCCAGACCGCGGGGCCGCGCGCAUAUCCGCCACUCGGCUCCUCCGGGCCGCCAUCCGCGCCCGCGCGCCGCCACCUGACGUCAGGCGCGCCUGGCAUAAUUUAUGCAAGAAUUCGGCCGGGGUGGCGGAGGCCGAGGGAGAGGCCGAGAGAAAGGGGGCGGCGCGGAGCUGCAGGGGCCGCGAACCCGCAGGCCGCAAAGGCGGCCGAGGCGCCGCUUUGCCGCUUACGCUUGCGCGCUUGCUUUAUGUCCCGUCCCCGGGCGGGCGCCGGCGCUGCAGGCGGGUCCGCCGGCCGGUGCGCCGCUGCCCCGCAGCCUUCCUUGCCCAGCUGCUCGGAGCGCUCGGCCGCGGAGCCCAGGCGCGGGCAGGAGGGGCUGCUGCCACGUCUCCCGCGCAGCACCUUCCCGGAGCCGGGUGCGCCGCCCCGGGGCAGGAAGCGGGGCUCCUCGCCGGCUGCGACCCUCCUGGCCGCGGCGAAGGGUUUCCAACGCUGCGCGGCCGGCGGCGGCCGGAGGUGUCUGGCCGUCUCUGCAGUAAUUAUCCUUCAACUUGA
RNAcentral lists this long non-coding RNA (1218 nucleotides) under Papio anubis (olive baboon). RNAcentral's name for it is "lncRNA (ENSPANG00000044288.1)". Lineage: Eukaryota; Metazoa; Chordata; Mammalia; Primates; Cercopithecidae. The record is from RNAcentral.